RNAcentral lists this unclassified non-coding RNA (377 nucleotides) under uncultured Rickettsiales bacterium. RNAcentral describes it as "contains 16S-23S intergenic spacer region". Lineage: Bacteria; Pseudomonadati; Pseudomonadota; Alphaproteobacteria; Rickettsiales. The record is from RNAcentral.
UCCGGCUUAUCACCGGCAGUUUCCUUAGAGUGCCCAACUGAAUGAUGGCAACAAAGGAUGAGGGUUGCGCUCGUUGCGGGACUUAACCCAACAUCUCACGACACGAGCUGACGACAGCCAUGCAGCACCUGUGCAUCUUCCGGCCGAACCGACUCCCCCUUUUCGGGGGGAUAUGAAGAGCAUGUCAAACCCUGGUAAGGUUCUUCGCGUUGCCUCGAAUUAAACCACAUGUUCCACCGCUUGUGCGGGUCCCCGUCAAUUUCUUUGAGUUUUAAUCUUGCGACCGUACUCCCCAGGCGGGGUGCUUAAUGCGUUAGCUGCGCCACUUGAGGGGAACCCCCAAACAGCUAGCACCCAUCGUUUACAGCGUGGACUAC